This is a long non-coding RNA of Pipistrellus kuhlii (Kuhl's pipistrelle), 596 nucleotides long. RefSeq lists it as uncharacterized. The record is from RefSeq and is a predicted model, not a curated record. The transcript has 7 exons. NCBI's taxonomy places the organism in Eukaryota, Metazoa, Chordata, Mammalia, Chiroptera, Vespertilionidae.
CGCGGGCCGCUCCCCCCCGGACCCGGGACCCGCGGGCGCCCCCCGGCGGGCCCUCACCUCAGGUUCUCUGGGCCAGGUGUACAGAGCACAGAGGAAGACACAGAGACUCCAGGAUGGGCAAAGCCCAUUGAGGUCCUUUGCAUUUCCACAUGAAUUUUAGAAUGCUGCAAUAUGGAUUGGGAUUGAAUUGAAAUAGAUUGAUUUGAAGAGGAAUUGAUGUCUUAUCAACAGAGAAAGCUACUAUGAUAUUGGGAAGAAGCAUGAAGAUCAAGAACCAGAAGAUUCCACUAAAGUAGACGUUUCCAGUGUAUGUGACCUUCAAACCAUCAGGAAAGUGCUAUUAGUAGCUGCAAACAAACCCUAGAUAUCAGUGACUUUCCACAGAUGUCAAUUUCUCACUCACAGGAAGUCCAAUAAAGGUGGUUCUGAUGUGGACAACAUUCAUCAUGGUCUUUCAGGCCAUGAGGAACCAAUGAAGAUGUUGAGCGUGAAAAUAAUGUAUGCAGGAAUGGUUUUGUAAAAUUCAUGUGCAAGAUAGAUUGAAGAAGAAAAGUUCCAACAGCCAUUUUCAGACUUGGAACACAUGUAACUCUCCC